RNAcentral lists this long non-coding RNA (737 nucleotides) under Phoenix dactylifera (date palm). RNAcentral's name for it is "long non-coding RNA (PDAC_LNC008730)". Lineage: Eukaryota; Viridiplantae; Streptophyta; Magnoliopsida; Arecales; Arecaceae. The record is from RNAcentral.
UGUCACGGGAUUAUAGUGACCAUAGCAGCACAUCCGUCUGAGAGUAUGUUUUAUAAAGUAUGGAUAAAUGGCAAUAUUUUUAUAUGACUUGCAUUAUCAUGAUUAUGAACUUUUAUGGAUAGAACAUGCAUUGCUUUAUGACCUGAUUUGUGUAUAUCAUCUAUAAAAUGUUUUAUUUUAAUCACUACAUUGGCAUAAUUGUACUUGAUCCAAUAAGAUAGUACCUGGUUACUUACUGAGCUGUGUAGCUCAUACCUUUUUAUCUACUUUUUUCCUACAGAUGAUUAAGACCACUAGGAGCAGGGAGCUUGAUGUUAUUCAGGGUUGGGGUAAUUGAAAAUGUUAUGUAAUAAUCAGAUUUUAGAAGCUCUGUACUGUUCCAACUUCUUCACUAAUGUUAUGACAUUAGUAAAUGAAACUAUUUAUUUUUAUUUUAUGUGGCUUCGUGUUAUUGUGUGCAUAAGAUAGCAAUAGCACGGCCGUGUCAUGAUCCGGAUUUGGGGCGUGACAUUUUUGAGCAUUUAUGAAUAUAGAUCUAGUAUGGCCUGUAAUUCUCUAAUUUUGCUGAUUGUAUCGGUCUAACUCAUGAAUCUAAUGAAAUUUUCAGUCCAACCAUCCAAAUAGAUCUUAGAAAUUUUUGGUUGGUAUUGUUAUCCAUCCCUUGAUGCUUCUUUUUGCUUUCUUGUUCUUCGAGAAGACAUAUUGUCUGAAAACUGGGGAGUUAAAGCUUGGCAACG